RNAcentral lists this ribosomal RNA (264 nucleotides) under uncultured bacterium. RNAcentral describes it as "partial 16S ribosomal RNA". It matches the Rfam family "Bacterial small subunit ribosomal RNA", at positions 793 to 1055 of the family's 1533-position model. The record is from RNAcentral.
GUCCACGCCGUAAACGGUGGAUGCUGGAUGUGGGGCCCGUUCCACGGGUUCCGUGUCGGAGCUAACGCGUUAAGCAUCCCGCCUGGGGAGUACGGCCGCAAGGCUAAAACUCAAAGAAAUUGACGGGGGCCCGCACAAGCGGCGGAGCAUGCGGAUUAAUUCGAUGCAACGCGAAGAACCUUACCUGGGCUUGACAUGUUCCCGACAGCCGUAGAGAUACGGUCUCCCUUCGGGGCGGGUUCACAGGUGGUGCAUGGUUGUCGU